This 497-nucleotide ribosomal RNA is filed under the name uncultured bacterium. Its description in RNAcentral is "partial 16S ribosomal RNA". It matches the Rfam family "Bacterial small subunit ribosomal RNA", at positions 28 to 507 of the family's 1533-position model. The record is from RNAcentral.
GAUGAACGCUGGCGGCGUGCCUAAUACAUGCAAGUCGAGCGAACGGACGAGAAGCUUGCUUCUCUGAUGUUAGCGGCGGACGGGUGAGUAACACGUGGAUAACCUACCUAUAAGACUGGGAUAACUUCGGGAAACCGGAGCUAAUACCGGAUAAUAUUUUGAACCGCAUGGUUCAAAAGUGAAAGACGGUCUUUCUGUCACUUAUAGAUGGAUCCGCGCUGCAUUAGCUAGUUGGUAAGGUAACGGCUUACCAAGGCAACGAUGCAUAGCCGACCUGAGAGGGUGAUCCGACACACUGGAACUGAGACACGGUACAGACUCCUACGGGAGGCAGCAGUAGGGAAUCUUCCGCAAUGGGCGAAAGCCUGACGGAGCAACGCCGCGUGAGUGAUGAAGGUCUUCGGAUCGUAAAACUCUGUUAUUAGGGAAGAACAUAUGUGUAAGUAACUGUGCACAUCUUGACGGUACCUAAUCAGAAAGCCACGGCUAACUACGUG